This 110-nucleotide microRNA precursor is filed under the name Gossypium arboreum. RNAcentral's name for it is "MIR7502 microRNA precursor family". It matches the Rfam family "MIR7502 microRNA precursor family". Lineage: Eukaryota; Viridiplantae; Streptophyta; Magnoliopsida; Malvales; Malvaceae. The record is from Rfam by way of RNAcentral.
UGUUUAAAAUUUAAUUUAUUUUUACUAUUAAAAAUUGGUGUGGUUGAUGAUAUAAUCAGACACUCACAACGGACGAAUUUUAAAAAUAAAAAUGGAUGAAAUUUUUAAUA